GUCCAUAAAGGCCUAAAUAUAUUGAGACAUUUUAUUAACCACUGACAAAACGAUUCCUCUUAGAGGUUGUUGGCACUUUGGUCAUGUCGACUCCUCCCCCACUUCACCCAUGUUCCCAGGUCUGUAGCGGACCACGCCCACAGAUGUCUCAUGUGCAUCAAAUUUUACUUUGGGUGGGGGUUGGGAUUCAAAGACGUGGCGAAACCCGUGGAGUGCCAGCAUGUGCUAUGAGGAAGGACCCCCGAGAAAGAGGUGAUGGCGAGGACGUGCCCACGUCCCCACCCCUGCCCGAGACGGUUUCAGAACAGAGAUCUCAUGGGAGGCUCUGGAAUUUCCUGGGGCCAUGGGACAAGGACGGAGUGACUGUGCUAAGCCAGUGGUUCUCAAACUUUGCUGUGCUUGUGUAGUACGGUCACUUGGGCAGUUUAUCAAACUCUCCCUUGUCAAGCUGGCAUCUCAGAUUAUUUCAUCACAAUCUCUAGGGGCGGGACCCAGAGGUCAACAUGUUCUAAAACUCCCCUCAAGAGAUUCUAGGGCAGCUGAAGUUGGGGACCAGUGAUCUUAAGUGCUUCUGAAACUUUCGUGUCUAAUACAAGUCAUGUGGGAAUCUCCUUAAAAUGCAGAUUCUGAAUCAGCAGAUCUGGGUGGGGCUAAGAUACAGCAUUUCUAACCUGCUGCCAGAUGAGGUCUAUGUUCUUGUCUACAAAACAGCAAGGUCUAGAUUUCAAGGUGCUGGAAGACACUGCUUUGUUGCUGGGCUAGGUGAAGUUCUCUGAAGUUCAGAGGCUGGACAGUUGACUGCCUGCUGGGAGGACACGAGCAGGCAGGCCCCGGGGAGAAGAAACGGUAAAGCAGGAACGGGAAGGACAGGUGAAACACUGAGCAGUGAGGGGCCAGAGAAGGGCUCUAGAGCCGGGCAUACCUUACUUUGAGCCAGAAGAGGUGUCCAAUAAUGAUCAUGUCAACCUGUAAACGGAGAAUGCAGUUUCCUGGGACUGGGGACACUUUGCCCAGUGAGCAUGAAGGCACCACGAAGGAAGUGAGAAGUUCUGAAGGGCCACGGAGGAAACGUGUGGGAUAAUUAUGUGUGUGAGGAAACCCCCUGAGGAAGGCCAUGAGAUGGGGUGUACCAUGGACAGUUGAGGACCACCCCUUGUUUAAGUCAACAUGGUAACUUUCUUGGCUUCCCUGGA
Molecule: long non-coding RNA, 1193 nt
Organism: Panthera uncia (snow leopard)
Lineage: Eukaryota; Metazoa; Chordata; Mammalia; Carnivora; Felidae
Exons: 2
Source: RefSeq, a predicted model, not a curated record